GCCCACUUCCCGACAGCCUCCGCGCAUCUCUGUGGCAGCUGCCGGGUGCUUCCCGCCCCUCCGCGCCCGCCCACCCAACGGCGCUGUGUCCCGCCGGUAGCUCAGCGCGGACUUCCUUUAUGUUGUACAGGGUUGGGCCUGGAGACCCGGAGGCCGGCGAGGUCCUGGCUGGGAGAGGCCGCCGCUGCCUUCAGGUUCCCGAGACAAUGGAGACUCUGAGAACAUCCAGAAAUAUCCACAGGACUGGAGAGGCUGUGGGCUUUCAACCACCACGAGGGGCUGUUUGCAUAUGAUUCUUCUAAAAUUGACAUCAGUGAAAUGCCUUGAAGAUAAUAAAGUGUUGAAGAAAUAAACAAAAUCAGAAUAUAUGGGAUCAGUUAGCUCUUAUUUAAGAAACAUGGAGGAAAUGAGAGCAAGCAAUGAAGUAAUGUUACAAAAUAACAUAUUUGAGUAGUUCAUACUGGUGGAAUUUUCCUGGCACUCUCAUGAAUUGAAACAUAAUCAUUAAAGACUCUGGCACUUGAAACCGUGAUGACAGCUGCAUUUCUUGCAGUCGAGGGAACUCGGAGUGUUUUAGCUUAUGGGUUCUGUGGAAGCCAGGCCACUUGUCUUCCUCGCUUCAGCCCCCUUCGCACAGGAGGUGACGAAUCUCUUCCCUCGCUGGAGUUCCUGGAGCCACAGUAUACAAAGAAGCCACACACAAAGCUCCUAAAGAGAGCUCCACAGGCCUGAGACAUAUUAAAUUGUCAUCUUCCUGGAACCAAGAGAUUCCCUCCAUUAUGAAAAUGUUGCACAGCCUUAUUAUGCAACACACUCUGUUUUGCUCUGUGUGAGUUCCACUCCCACUGUCACAGCUCUGUCAGCAGACCCUGAGGCCUGGGCAUCAAUUUCAGAUCUUCAUGGAGAGCCAAUGCUGUGGGAAGGGUGUCCUUUAGUCUGUGAUAUUCAUGAGUGAGGGACAGAGCUGGACAUUUUAGUGAAUCUCAGAGCUGCAGGGAAAGUACUGUCUUCAGCUACUCUUCUCUGGCUAGACUUGGGACUAUUCUAUAAUUUCCUUACUGGAUUAAUAAUCAGUACCUCUUGAAUCCUGUGUCCACUGUUCAAUAUAACCUGGUAGGGUGGAACAAUCAGAAAAUCAUCUGCUUUAUGCCUGCAUCCUCUCCUGGCUAAGAUUGCAAUAGGUCCAGUUGUGCACAUUAGGUAGAAUUGUCAUGUCUGAAGAAGGUAGUAUCAUUUUUGUUUUGUAGUUUAUUCUGUAAGGGUUUCUAAUUACAGUACCAUAAUCAAGAAGAAGACAUUCAGCAUGAGACUCCACAGAAGGUGCUAGUCUCAUAGAGAAGUAGACCUCCAUUGAGAAGCUCAGAUGUAGGGACGAGCCCCACAGGGUCGGUGGGUUUUUCUCCCUGUGUGCGGAGACGAGAGAUUGUAGAAAUAAAGACACAAGACAAAGAGAUAAAAGAAAAGACAGCUGGGCCCAGGGGACCACUACCACCAAGACAUGGAGACUGGUAGUGGCCCCGAAUGUCUGGCCACACUGAUAUUUAUUGGACACAAAGCAAAAGGGGCAGGGUAAAGAGUGUGAGUCAUCUCCAGUGAUAGGUAAGGUCAAGUGGUCAUGUGUCCACUGGACAGGGGUCCCUUCCCUGCCUGACAGCUGAGGCAGAGAGAGAGAGAGGGAGAGAGACAGACAGCUUAUGCCAUCAUUUCUGCAUAUCAGAGACUUUUAGUACUGUCACUAAUUUUGCUACUGUUAUCUAAAAGGCAGAGCCAGGUAUACAGGAUAGAACAUGAUAGCAGACUAGGAGAGUGACCACUGAAGCACAGCAUCAGAGGGAGAUGAUUAGGCCUCCAGAUAACUCGGGCGGGCCUGACUGAUGCCCUACACAAGAGGUGGAGGAGGAGAGUCUUCUCUAAACUCCCCUGGGGAAAGGGAGACUCCCAUUCCUGGUCUGCUAAGUAGCGGGUGUUUUUCCUUGACACUGAUGCUACCGCUAGACCAUGGUCUGCUUGGCAACGGGCAUCUUCCCAGAAGCUGGCAUUACCGCUAGACCAAGGAGCCCUCUGGUGGCCCUGUCCGGGCAUAACAGAAGGCUCGCAGUCUUGUCUUCUGGUCAAUUCUCACCGUGUCCCUUCCACUCCUAUCUCUGUAUGGCUUGGUUUUUCCUAGGUUAUGAUUAUAGAGCGAGGAUUAUUAAUAACAUUGGGAUAAAGAGUAAUUGCUAUAAACUAAUGAUUAAUGAUAUUCAUAUAUAAUCAUAUCUAUGAUCUAUAUCUAGUAUAACUUCUUAUUUUAUAUAUUUUAUUAUACUGGAACAGCUUGUGCCCUCGGUCUCUUACCUCGGCACCUAGGUGGCUUGCCACCCACACUCAGAGACCUUUCUCCCUGGGUAAGGUGUGCAGUCCACCAGGGUGCAGACAUGCUCUAAAUCCAUAGGCACCUGAUGUGUCCUAGAAGUAAGGAGCAUAGGUAUGAGCAACCCUACCCCAUCCUCUGUAGCUGACAUCAUUCCCAGUGAUCACUUGACAAGUUUGUGGUGCUGCCCAGUUCAUUGAUGCUUCUCAUGUAGGAGACUAGCAGGCCAGGGAAGAGCCACCAUCUUGGCAAAAACAGCUGAACCUGUCAUUAGGUAAGGGAUGUUUUUCCAUAAUAGAAGACAUAAAUUUAACUAUCAUUAAGUCCUCUAGGUUGUCAUUUGAAACUGCCCAAUAUUGAUAGCAUAUGGACAAAUGAAAACCUCAAUAAAUAGUUAGCUGAAGGAUGUUUAAUGUAUUGUAGUGUGACCUACUGAUGCUGAGCUACACGGUAGUUGUGCUGAAAUGAGGGUGGGUAGAGGUCCUCCUCCACAUGGUGUAGGUGAGCCUGAGGGUCUAGCGACCAACAUGUACCUGGAGAAGAUGCCCAUGGGCAGCAGAACUUGUUAUAGUGGGUUUGCUGAAAGUGUCUAUUUUGGUCCCCUCUAUUAUGUCCCCACAAAGCAUGUGCUGGCUUUCUGAUCUUCAAGAGGGCAAAAAGCAGUGAAGGGCUGAGAGAAUUCUAUCUGUCUCUUGAACCUGAACAUACUGAGAAGCCUAGAGAGAGCUCGGAGCUCCUGGAGACGCUUAUGGGAUUUUCCCACCCAGGAAGACUCUUUGCACAUUAUCUCUCUAGAUAAACACUCAUGUAACACUUUAGUAAAGAUAAAAUGAUAGAAGAAAUUGUCAAAUAACUUCAAUUCAGAAUAUUUAAGUUUAUUUAGAAAGUCAGCAGCAUGCAGUUUUAUUAUUGUAGUUUCAUAGCAUAUUUGCAGUUCAGGUACUAGGAAACCUCCCCCCAGCUUUGAUGUUUGUAUUCAAUGUUACUUUGGACAUCUGGGGUCUUUUGUGAUUCAAUUUUAUCAUUUAAAAAAUAGUUUGUCGAAAAUGUCAUUUCUAUAGAAAUUGCUUUGGAUCUGUAGAUUGCUUUGGGUAGUAUAGACAUGUUAACAGUAUUAUUAUCUUCAAUCUGUGAAUAUGGAAUAGUUUCCCAUAUAUUUGCAUAUAGAUUUAUUUAUUUCAUCAAUGUCAUAUAGUCUUCAAUGCACAGAUUUUCACUUAUUUGACCAACAUUUUUUCUAAGUGAUUUUUAGAAAUAGAUAUUGGUCUUGCUGUGUUGCCCAGGCGGGUCUCAAACUCCUAGCUUCAAGUGAUUCUCCCCUGCCUCCCAAAGUACAAGAAUUACAGGUGUAAACUACUGUGCAUGGCCACUAAGUAAGUUAUUUAAUAUUAUUGUAAAUGCAACUGACAUUGUCUUAUGAUUUUUAAAUAGUUAAUUGCUAGUUUUUAGUAACACUACUGAGUCUUCCAUAUAAAUUUUGUAUACUGCAAUGUUACUAAAUUUGUUUGUUAGUUUUCAGUGGCUGUUUUUUCAGAAUUUUUAAUUUUUUUUGGAAUUUAUAAAGUUAUAUUGUCUGUAAACAGAAACAGUUUAACUUAUUCCCCUCAAUUUCUAUGCCGUUUACUAUUUUUUUCUUUCUCAAAUUUCUAUGGUUAAAACUAUCAUCAAUAUGCUGAUUAGAAGUAUUAAGACUGGGCAUUCUUUUCUUAUUCCUUAUCUUAGAAGAAAAGCUUUCCAUUGUUCUCAGCAGGAAGGUUUAUGUCUGGACUCACACUGACUUCCUCUCACUGUUUGUCUUGCACAGUAAUACAAACCAUGUCCUCAGAUGUCACAGAGCUCAGGUAUAGUCAGAAUUGUUUCUUGGAUGAAUCUCUGGAGAAGGAGAGUUGGCUCUGCAGAGAUGGAUCAUUGUGUGUGUCACCCUUGCAAUGUGCUCCUGACAGCCCAUGGAAGCGGGCUAGUGGAUGCAGCUCCAGCAGUAACUGUUGGUUGGGAUGGACAACCCAGAAAUGGGGCAUGUGAGGAAGAGAAAAUGAAAGUGGAUAGCCUGUUACUGAAAACUGCUGGACUAAGACACUUGUAAGCCUGUCAAUCUCAGUGGCCAACAGACAUGAAAAAAAUUUCCAACAUCAUUAAUUAUCAGAGAAAUGCAAAUAAAAACAACAAUGAAAUACCAUCUCAGACCAGUCAUAAUAGCUAAUAUGAAAAAAGUUAAACAAAAAACAGCUGCUGGGUGGGAAGUGAAGAAAAGGGAACACAUACAUGGGUGGUGGAAAUGUAAAUUAGUUUAGCACUGUGCAAAGCAGUUUAGAGAAUUCUCAAAGAACUUAAAACAGAGCUACUGUUUGACCCAGCAAUCCCAUCAUUAGGUAUAUAGCCAAAGUAAAAUAAAUCAUUCUACCAAAAAAUGCACAUGCACUCAUGCCUCUUGCCACACUAUUCACAACAGCAAAGAUACGGAAUCAAUCUAGGUGCCAAUCAAUGAUGUAUUAGAUGAAUAAAAUGGUAUGUAUGCAAUAUAAAAUCAUAAAAUACCACACAUUCAUAAAAAAAAAAGUGUGGUGCCUCACACCUAUAAUCCCAGCACUUUGGGAGGCUGAGGCAGAUGGAUCAUGAGGUCAGGAGAUCAAGAUCAUCCUGGCCAAUAUAGUGAAACCCCGUCUCUGCUAAAAAUACAAAAUUUAGCUGGGCAUAGUGGCACAUGCCUGUAAUCCCAGCUACCCGGGACGCUGAGGCGGGAGAAUCACUUGAACCAGGGAGUUAGAGGUUGCAGUAAGCUGAGAUCGCGUCACUGCACUCCUGCCUGGUGAGAGAGCGAGACUCUGUCACAAAAGAAACAAAAUCAUGUCCUUUGCAGCAACAUGGAUGCAGCUGGAGGUCAUAGUCGUAAACAAGUUAACACAGAAAAAGGAAACAAAAUACCACAUGUUCUCACUUGAAAGUGAGUGCUAAAGGUUGAGCACAUGUGGACAUGACCAUGGAAACAAUAGGCACUGUGAACUGCUGGAGUGG
Molecule: long non-coding RNA, 5365 nt
Organism: Gorilla gorilla gorilla (western lowland gorilla)
Lineage: Eukaryota; Metazoa; Chordata; Mammalia; Primates; Hominidae
Exons: 3
Source: RefSeq, a predicted model, not a curated record